AGCAGCCGCGGUAAUUCCAGCUCCAAUAGCGUAUAUUAAAGUUGUUGCAGUUAAAAAGCUCGUAGUUGAAUUUCGGGAUCAAUAUGUUGGUCGUGCCUUGGUACGUACUGGCAUUAUCGAUUCCUACCUUCUGAAGAACCUCGAUGUCAUUAAUUUGGUGUCUUGGGGAAUCAGGACUGUUACUUUGAAAAAAUUAGAGUGUUUAAAGCAGGCUCGCGCUUGAAUACAUUAGCAUGGAAUAAUGAAAUAGGACGUUUGAUUCUAUUUUGUUGGUUUCUAGGAUCGACGUAAUGAUUAAUAGGGAUAGUUGGGGGCAUUAGUAUUCAAUUGUCAGAGGUGAAAUUCUUGGAUUUAUUGAAGACUAACUACUGCGAAAGCAUUUGCCAAGGAUGUUUUCAUUAAUCAAGAACGAAAGUUAGGGGAUCGAAGACGAUCAGAUACCGUCGUAGUCUUAACCAUAAACUAUGCCGACUAGGGAUCGGAUGAUGUUAAUUUUUUAAUGACUCAUUCGGCGCCUUAU
This 520-nucleotide unclassified non-coding RNA is filed under the name uncultured Glomus. Its description in RNAcentral is "SSU rRNA". It matches the Rfam family "Eukaryotic small subunit ribosomal RNA", at positions 569 to 1091 of the family's 1831-position model. Lineage: Eukaryota; Fungi; Glomeromycota; Glomeromycetes; Glomerales; Glomeraceae. The record is from RNAcentral.